This is a non-coding RNA of Homo sapiens (human), 3042 nucleotides long. The record is from RefSeq and is a predicted model, not a curated record. Lineage: Eukaryota; Metazoa; Chordata; Mammalia; Primates; Hominidae.
CAUCUCCGGCGGCGGGGCUUGGAGCGCGCGCAUUUCGUGGGGCGGGAGCCCGCGCCCGGGUGCUGACCUCCUGCCUCAGCGCCCCCUCCCCCACUACCCGCGGCCUAGCGGGGUAGCCUCGGGUGGCCAGGCUUGUUUCCUCCUCGGUGGGUGUAAGGUGCGGCUUCGCUGGUCCUGGCCUGAAUCCAGCGGAAGCGCACGCUGCUGAGCUGUCAGCGGAGGAAAAUGGGGCCUGGACCUGGAGAUAUGAGGGUCUGGAGAGAGGGGCCCCUUCCCUGGUGUCGUGUGGUGCGACCACUGGAGAGGGAGUUUCUCGCCCUCGUCGCGCCUGCCGCGCGGAGAGAUAAGGAAUAGCUCUAAUCCAUAGAGGUAAUACUGUACCUGGCCACAACCAAUGAAUCCAGUGGUACACACCUAAUACAAGCUGAGCCAGUGAGAGAGGCUCUCCCAGCAAAGCAAAACUUGAAAGAUAAAGAGGCAGGAGGCCUUUGCAGGAACGCUAUUGUGAAGAAUACAGUUUAAGAACAUGCAAAUUCAUGAAGCGUUCCAUAUUUAAAAAAAAAACAAAAACAAAAAACUGCUAUUGCAUAGCAUCCAAGUGGAUUUGACCAGAAGUGGUUCAGAUAUGGGUAGUGUGGAACUCAGAGCAAGAUCUGAGCUGAAGAGGUAAGCUUGGAAGACAUUAGCAAAUGGGUGGUAACAGAAGGCAUGUGGGAGUAAAUGAGAGGACCAUCCAGGGCAAGUGUAUAGUCUAAGAAGAGUAAAGGUUGAGGACAAAACUCCAGGGAACACCAAUACUUAAAGGGUUGCUGAAAGAAAGGAGUCCCAAAGGGACUGAAAAGGGGACGCCAGAAAAGUAGGAGGGAAAACUAGGAGAGAGUGCCAUCAGGGAUGCCAGAAAUUUGACCAAUUUAGGAGAUAGGGUAUGGCCAACAGUGUCAGAUGUUGCAGAGACUAGUUCAUUUGAUUUGGCAACACAAAAGUAUUGGUGAACAAUUGCAUUGUUGAGAGUUAAAAGAUUAAAUGGUAAGAAUGGGAGCGGGGCCACAGUUGCCCAUGACUUUUCCAAGAAAUCUGACUCUGCUAGGGGAAAAAAAAUAGAGUCCUUUUUAUAUAUUUAUUUAUUUAUUUUUUGAGAUGGAGUCUUGCUCUGUCACCCAGGCUGGAGUGCAAUGGCACGAUCUCAGCUCACUGCAACCUCCACCUCCCGAAUUCAAGUGAUUCUCCUGCCUCAGCCUCCUGAGUAGCUUGGAUUACAGGCACCCGCCAUCACGCCUGGCUAAUUUUUUUUUUUUUUUGUAUUUUUAGUAGAGAUGGGAUUUUACCAUUAACCAGGAUGGCCUUGAUCUCCUGACCUCGUGAUCCACCCCCCUCGGCCUCCCAAAGUGCUGGGAUUACAGGCGUGAAUCACUGCGCCUGGCCAAAUAGAGUCCAUUUUUAAAUGCUAGAAAGGGAUGGCAGAGCUGAGUGUUAGAAAGCCAGAGCCUCCUGGAUUUACCGGUGCUGUGCCAUUAUUUUCAGAGGCAUUCAUAGCUAAUGACAAAGUAGACAGUGAACUACUGCAAAGCAGAACUGGCUGCCUUGCUCAUCUCUUGCCCACAAUUAUUACUUUCCAAACUGAUGAGAGACUAUUCCUGAGAUACUUAUGAUGGAGGUAGUUGGGAGGUCCUGGUGGGGAAGGAUUACAUGGAGGGAAGAGUAGUUAUAAGUGUUUGAACUUGUUACCAUUUAAACUGAGAUUAUAGAAGGGGAGAAUGGAGUUAACCACCCCUCACCACAGUCUUGGUGAGGGAUGGUUAUGUUUGUCCUCACCUUGGUCUUGUCUACACUGUGCUCCCUAUGGAGAACUUGGACCCCUCUGCCUUGUUCCUCUCACCCAGAGAAAUUGCAGUGUCUGCUGUACCUAUUCCUAUGCCCUUCCACCCAGUCUAGUUUCUCCUGUUCUUCCCCAGAUCUCCUUCCAAAUAGACUGGUGUAACUGGCACAAAGUGUUUGUUAACUGAUUGCCAAUCCAAUAAUAAGGGGACUGAGGUUCCUCUUUGAAGGGUGGGUUUAAUUUGGGGCUUUCGUACCAAUUCUGACCACGUGUAGAGCAUCAUUCAGCACACUAUGGGCUGUGAGCACAAUCUUGCCUACCACCUGUUUUUAAAUGGCCUAAAAGCUAAGAAUGGUCUUCACAUUUUUAAAUGGUUAGGGAAAAAAAAAGCAAAUGAAGAAUAUUUCGUGACACAUGAAAAUUACAUGAAAUUUGAAUUUUAGUGUCCAUAAAUAAAAAGAGGGUUGAGGACAAAAACUCCAGGGAACACCAGUAUUUAAAGAGUAGCUGAAAGGAAGGAGUCUAUGAAGGAGACUGAGAAGGAGAUGCUCAAGAAGUGGGAGGAAAAGCUAGGAGGAAACUAGGAACACAGCCACUCUCCUUCAUUUACAUAUUGUGCAUGGAGGCUUUCGUGCCACAGUUGAGUACUCAUGACAGAGAUCUGAUAGCCCACAAUGUCUAAAAUAUUUGCCAUCUGGCCCUUUACAGAAAAAGUUUGCUAACCCCUGGUUUAGGACUCUAGGUGGCUGUGUCCCAUAUGUCUCCCCACUGGUAGUCUCAUAAACUUCUUUUCUACUGUCCAGGGGCCUGAAUCUCCCCACUGCCAGAACCGCUGAUGGGUUAGUGCAUAAAUGUUGGGAUACUGGGAAAUGUUCUUUUGUUUUCUGGAGGGUUACCAUGAUUUCCAAACCCUAGUCCUUCCCUGGCACCCUGCCUCCACCACACAGACACACACACAUAUAUACACAUUGCUGUUCCAGAAUAUCUAGGAGGUCAUAGAGUUGUUUUUGUUUUUGGCUAUUACUGCUGCUAUUACUUGUUUAUCAAAAGAGGAUAUGAAGCCAGGCACAGUGGCAUGUGCCUAUAGUCCCCAGCUACUGAGGCGGGAGGAUCGCUUGAACUCGGGGGUUCAAGACUGGAGUGAGUUAUGAUUGCACCUGUAAGUAGCCACUGCACUCCAGUCUGGGCAACAGGGGAAACUUUGUCUUAAAAAAAAAAAAAAAAAA